GGAUGCCCUGGCAGUCAGAGGCGAUGAAGGGCGUGCUAAUCUGCGAUAAGCGCCGGUAAGGUGAUAUGAACCGUUAUAACCGGCGAUACCCGAAUGGGGAAACCCAGUGUGACUCGUCACACUAUCAUUAACUGAAUCCAUAGGUUAAUGAGGCGAACCGGGGGAACUGAAACAUCUAAGUACCCCGAGGAAAAGAAAUCAACCGAGAUUCCCCCAGUAGCGGCGAGCGAACGGGGAGGAGCCCAGAGCCUGAAUCAGCAUGUGUGUUAGUGGAAGCGUCUGGAAAGGCGCGCGAUACAGGGUGACAGCCCCGUACACAAAAGCGCAUGUGCUGUGAGCUCGAUGAGUAGGGCGGGACACGUGGUAUCCUGUCUGAAUAUGGGGGGACCAUCCUCCAAGGCUAAAUACUCCUGACUGACCGAUAGUGAACCAGUACCGUGAGGGAAAGGCGAAAAGAACCCCGGCGAGGGGAGUGAAAAAGAACCUGAAACCGUGUA
Molecule: ribosomal RNA, 497 nt
Filed under: Salmonella enterica subsp. enterica serovar Enteritidis
Lineage: Bacteria; Pseudomonadati; Pseudomonadota; Gammaproteobacteria; Enterobacterales; Enterobacteriaceae
Description: partial 23S ribosomal RNA
Rfam family: Bacterial large subunit ribosomal RNA
Source: RNAcentral